UAGGGAAUCUUCGGCAAUGGACGAAAGUCUGACCGAGCAACGCCGCGUGAGUGAAGAAGGUUUUCGGAUCGUAAAACUCUGUUGUUAGAGAAGAACAAGGACGUUAGUAACUGAACGUCCCCUGACGGUAUCUAACCAGAAAGCCACGGCUAACUACGUGCCAGCAGCCGCGGUAAUACGUAGGUGGCAAGCGUUGUCCGGAUUUAUUGGGCGUAAAGCGAGCGCAGGCGGUUUCUUAAGUCUGAUGUGAAAGCCCCCGGCUCAACCGGGGAGGGUCAGUGGAAACUGGGAGACUUGAGUGCAGAAGAGGAGAGUGGAAUUCCAUGUGUAGCGGUGAAAUGCGUAGAUAUAUGGAGGAACACCAGUGGCGAAGGCGGCUCUCUGGUCUGUAACUGACGCUGAGGAUCGAAAGCGUGGGGAGCAAACAGG
RNAcentral lists this ribosomal RNA (429 nucleotides) under Chloroflexota bacterium. RNAcentral's name for it is "Chloroflexi bacterium partial 16S ribosomal RNA". It matches the Rfam family "Bacterial small subunit ribosomal RNA", at positions 355 to 776 of the family's 1533-position model. The record is from RNAcentral. Lineage: Bacteria; Bacillati; Chloroflexota.